This 229-nucleotide ribosomal RNA is filed under the name uncultured bacterium. Its description in RNAcentral is "partial 16S ribosomal RNA". It matches the Rfam family "Bacterial small subunit ribosomal RNA", at positions 568 to 796 of the family's 1533-position model. The record is from RNAcentral.
UCCGUAGGUGGAUAAUUAAGUCAGAGGUGAAAUCCUGCAGCUCAACUAUAGAAUUGCCUUUGAAACUGGUUAUCUUGAGUCAUUAUGAAGUGGUUAGAAUGUGUAGUGUAGCGGUGAAAUGCAUAGAUAUUACACAGAAUACCGAUUGCGAAGGCAGAUCACUAAUAAUGUACUGACACUGAUGGACGAAAGCGUGGGUAGCGAACAGGAUUAGAUACCCUGGUAGUCC